Molecule: ribosomal RNA, 447 nt
Filed under: Triticum aestivum (bread wheat)
Lineage: Eukaryota; Viridiplantae; Streptophyta; Magnoliopsida; Poales; Poaceae
Description: partial small subunit ribosomal RNA
Source: RNAcentral
AAGGCAAGGCAAACAAGAUCGAUCUACGGAUCGCGUAGGCACCCCACAGCUCGAGAUGACAACCGUCACGCCGGCCACAAAUUCGGCAGGGCCGAACACAGUAGACAAAGCUCAUUGGAGCUACCUCAUGAUAUCACCCAGUACAAAGGCGCCGCACACCCAUUGUGCUUCACAGACGAAAUAAUGGAUCAUCAAAUCCCCGAGGGUUUCAAACCCGUAAACAUCGAAUCAUAUGAUGGCUCGACAGAUCCCGCGGUAUGGAUCGAGGAUUAUCUCCUUCAUAUCCACAUGGCCCGCGGCGAUGAUUUCCACGCCAUCAAAUACCUCCCACUCAAGCUUAAAGGACCAGCCCGGCAGUGGCUUAACAGCCUGCCAACAGGGUCAAUCAGCUAUUGGGAGGACCUGGAAGCCGCAUUCCUCGACAAUUUCCAGGGCACUUAUGUGCGA